CUUAACCUUCGGGAGGGCGCUUACCACUUUGUGAUUCAUGACUGGGGUGAAGUCGUAACAAGGUAACCGUAGGGGAACCUGCGGUUGGAUCACCUCCUUACCUAAGAGA
RNAcentral lists this ribosomal RNA (109 nucleotides) under Proteus mirabilis. RNAcentral's name for it is "partial 16S ribosomal RNA". It matches the Rfam family "Bacterial small subunit ribosomal RNA", at positions 1434 to 1533 of the family's 1533-position model. The record is from RNAcentral. Lineage: Bacteria; Pseudomonadati; Pseudomonadota; Gammaproteobacteria; Enterobacterales; Morganellaceae.